This 440-nucleotide ribosomal RNA is filed under the name uncultured bacterium. Its description in RNAcentral is "partial 16S ribosomal RNA". It matches the Rfam family "Bacterial small subunit ribosomal RNA", at positions 339 to 795 of the family's 1533-position model. The record is from RNAcentral.
CUACGGGUGGCAGCAGUAGGGAAUAUUGCUUAAUGGGCGAAAGCCUGAAGCAGCAACGCCGCGUGUACGAUGAAGGCCUUCGGGUUGUAAAGUACUUUUUGCAGGGAUGAGGAAGGACAGUACCUGCAGAAUAAGCCUCGGCUAACUACGUGCCAGCAGCCGCGGUAAAACGUAGGAGGCGAGCGUUAUCCGGAUUUACUGGGCGUAAAGCGCGUGUAGGCGGAUUGGUAAGUUAGCUGUGAAAGCUCCCGGCUUAACUGGGAGAGGUCGGUUAAUACUGUCAGUCUAGAGUAUGUGAGAGGGAAGUGGAAUUCCGGGUGUAGUGGUGAAAUGCGUAGAUAUCCGGAGGAACACCAGAGGCGAAAGCGGCUUCCUGGCACAUAACUGACGCUCAGACGCGAAAGCUAGGGGAGCGAACGGGAUUAGAUACCCUAGUAGUC